RNAcentral lists this ribosomal RNA (512 nucleotides) under uncultured bacterium. RNAcentral describes it as "partial 16S ribosomal RNA". It matches the Rfam family "Bacterial small subunit ribosomal RNA", at positions 28 to 523 of the family's 1533-position model. The record is from RNAcentral.
GAUGAACGCUGGCGGCGUGCCUAAUACAUGCAAGUCGAACGCGCAGCGAAAGGUGCUUGCACCUUUCAAGCGAGUGGCGAACGGGUGAGUAACACGUGGAUAACCUGCCUCAAGGCUGGGGAUAACAUUUGGAAACAGAUGCUAAUACCGAAUAAAACUUAGUAUCGCAUGAUACAAAGUUAAAAGGCGCUACGGCGUCACCUAGAGAUGGAUCCGCGGUGCAUUAGUUAGUUGGUGGGGUAAAGGCUUACCAAGACGAUGAUGCAUAGCCGAGUUGAGAGACUGAUCGGCCACAUGGGACUGAGACACGGCCCAAACUCCUACGGGAGGCUGCAGUAGGAAAUCUUCCACAAUGGGCGCAAGCCUGAUGGAGCAACGCCGCGUGUGUGAUGAAGGCUUUCGGGUCGUAAAGCACUGUUGUAUGGGAAGAAAUGCUAAAAUAGGGAAUGAUCUUAGUUUGACGGUACCAUACCAGAAAGGGACGGCUAAAUACGUGCCAGCCGCCGCCGUAA